RNAcentral lists this long non-coding RNA (1701 nucleotides) under Homo sapiens (human). RNAcentral's name for it is "non-protein coding PART1:13". The stretch from base 282 to 412 matches the Rfam family "Prostate androgen-regulated transcript 1 conserved region 3". Lineage: Eukaryota; Metazoa; Chordata; Mammalia; Primates; Hominidae. The record is from RNAcentral.
UCACGAGGGCAGAGCCCCAUGAGUGGGUUCCUGAUAAAAGGAUAAGUUCAGCCUCCAUUUGCUCUCUGUUUCUAGUGUUCACUUCCACCUUCCACCCUUUCACUAUGAAGGACCCUCACCAGAUGGUGGCACCAUGCUCUCGGACUUCCCAGCCUCCAGAACUGGGACGGGUAAAUUGAAGCAAAAAGCAGACAAGUUCUAUGGGAUUUGCUGGCAUUGAUUUCCCAGGAUGGCAAAGUGCUAAGAACUAAACCUUUAAAGCUAACAAAAUGUACUGAUGUCUUUGCAAAGUAUCCAAGACCAACAAGAAAGUAAUUUCCCACCUCACCCUACCACCACCCAGAAAAGGAGCACAGAGAUGGGGAAGAGAGUGGCUGCAUCUGGCAUCCAGCCAGAGGAGUCCGUGCAGGGAUUCUGGAUCCCUCUUCCCCCACCCCACUGCCCUUCCCCCUCCACCCCAGCGUUUUGGAGAAGCAAGAAACUGUGAUGAUGCAGCUCCCUCAAGUAUCACAUGAAGAUAGUGGAAAGAGCCUCCUGAGGUAAAUAUGCCAUGUAGACAGAAACAAGCAAUGGCUCAACAGCAAUGUAUGAGGUCCAAGGACCAGGACCAAAGGGAAAAACAGCCAUCUCACCAGACACCUGCCUACGACCAGAUGCGUCAUCUCCAAUAUUAGCUAACUCCCUGGAACCUGGACUCAAGGUGUGAAAUAAAGGUUAAUGGGAAACCGCAGGAGUCAAAAGGAGGGGGCAGGAUUAUUGAGGAUUCAGGCUGUUGAGAAAUGAAAGUUUGGAUCACUCCCCAGAUAAAGAACCUUGACCAUUUAAGGGCAAUGGAAAUACAGAAUAGGCAGUAGAAGAAGGAAGCCAUAGAUACCAACUAUGGCCUCUCAAUCAAUUACAAAACUGAGAAUUCUGACAGUUUUGUGUAUUUCCUCUUUGCAUGUGAUGUAUAUGUGUGUAUUUGUAUAUAUUAACCAUUUUCCUUUUUCUCUCUUCAUUAUUUUAUGAAAGUUGUUGAAUAUAAACUCUACAAUUUAGCCUUUAGGUAAGAGAAUAUUCAGUGGGACUUUGAUUUGAGGAGUAUUUAAGACAGCCAGAUGAGACUACGAUAACUGUUGGAACUGUGUGUCUCCUCAUUUGGGGAAAGGGGUGAGAACUCUGCAUUUCUCUGAAGAACAGAGUUGACUUUGUGUUAUACAGAGUUCAAAUAUAUAUAUAAAAUGGUGCAUGUGGAAGCUAAGAAGCCAAAGGAGUUCACCAAGACAGUUAUCAAUAUAUUGCCUCUCCGCUCCAAAUCCACCCUUCUUUGCCCUGUUCCACGAUACUAAUCUGGCUCCUCGGUCAGCCAGUGCAAUGUCAUCUGUUGCUGGUAGAGUGUAGGGGAGACACUACAAGGUAUAGUAAAGGGGUCAGAUGCGGUGUCUCAUGCCUGUAAUCACAGCCCUUUGGGAGGCAGAGGCAGGAGGAUCACCUGAGGCCAGGAGUUUGAGACCAGCCUGGACAACAUGGUAAAACCCCAUCUCUACUGAAAAUACAAAAUUAGCACGCACCUGUAAUCCCAGCUACUCGGGAGGCUGAGGCAGGAGAAUCACUUGAACCUGGGAGGUGGAGGUUGCAGUGAGCCAAGAUCGCAUCAUUGCACUCCAGCCAGGGAAAAAAGGCAAAACUCUGUCUCAAAAAAAUAAAUAAAUAAAAUAAAAU